UUCUGGUGGUUUGUCGCGGGUGUUACACCUGAUCUCAUUCCGAACUCAGAAGUUAAGCCCCGUUGAGGCGAUGAUACUCUCUCUGAAGGGGAAAGUAGCUAGCCGCCGGAACU
This 113-nucleotide ribosomal RNA is filed under the name Candidatus Roizmanbacteria bacterium GW2011_GWC2_41_7. Lineage: Bacteria; Candidatus Roizmaniibacteriota. The record is from RNAcentral.